GACGAACGCUGGCGGCGUGCCUAAUACAUGCAAGUCGAACGCAGUUGCGAACGGGUGAGUAACGCGUAGGUAACCUGCCUCAUAGCGGGGGAUAACUAUUGGAAACGAUAGCUAAUACCGCAUACUGUGAGAUGUACCUUCUUUGUAUUAGCUAGUUGGUGAGGUAAAGGCUCACCAAGGCGACGAUACCUAGCCGACCUGAGAGGGUGAUCGGCCACCCUGGGACUGAGACACGGCCCAGACUCCUACGGGAGGCAGCAUUGGGGAAUAUUGCACAAUGGGCGCAAGCCUGAUGCAGCCAUGCCGCGUGUAUGAAGAAGGCCUUCGGGUUGUAAAGUACUUUCAGCGGGGAGGCGGGAGCGGAAGAAGAAGCACCGGCUAACUCCGUGCCAGCAGCCGCGGUAAUAG
Molecule: ribosomal RNA, 408 nt
Filed under: uncultured bacterium
Lineage: Bacteria
Description: partial 16S ribosomal RNA
Rfam family: Bacterial small subunit ribosomal RNA
Source: RNAcentral